UGACUGCGAGCGUGACGGCGCGAGCAGGUGCGAAAGCAGGUCAUAGUGAUCCGGUGGUUCUGAAUGGAAGGGCCAUCGCUCAACGGAUAAAAGGUACUCCGGGGAUAACAGGCUGAUGAUGCCCAAGAGUCCAUAUCGACGGCAUCGUUUGGCACCUCGAUGUCGGCUCAUCACAUCCUGGGGCUGGAGAAGGUCCCAAGGGUUGGGCUGUUCCCCAUUAAAGUGG
RNAcentral lists this ribosomal RNA (226 nucleotides) under Chaetoceros curvisetus. RNAcentral describes it as "partial Bacterial large subunit ribosomal RNA". It matches the Rfam family "Bacterial large subunit ribosomal RNA", at positions 2370 to 2596 of the family's 2925-position model. The record is from RNAcentral. Lineage: Eukaryota; Bacillariophyta; Thalassiosirophyceae; Chaetocerotales; Chaetocerotaceae.